RNAcentral lists this transfer RNA (94 nucleotides) under Gemmatimonadetes bacterium T265. Its description in RNAcentral is "tRNA-Ser". The record is from RNAcentral. Lineage: Bacteria; Pseudomonadati; Gemmatimonadota.
GCCGAGCGCUGGGACGCGGUCAUGGCGCUGUUCGAGGCCGCGCUCGACCGGCCGGCCGGCGACCGGCCGGCGUUCGUGGCCGCCGCGUGCGGCG